RNAcentral lists this ribosomal RNA (253 nucleotides) under uncultured bacterium. Its description in RNAcentral is "partial 16S ribosomal RNA". It matches the Rfam family "Bacterial small subunit ribosomal RNA", at positions 524 to 776 of the family's 1533-position model. The record is from RNAcentral.
UACGGGGGGAGCAUGCGUUGUUCGGAUUUACUGGGCGUAAAGGGCGCGUAGGCGGCGCAACAAGUCACUUGUGAAAUCUCCGGGCUUAACCCGGAGCGGCCAAGUGAUACUGUCGUGCUAGAGUGCGGAAGGGGCUACUGGAAUUCUCGGUGUAGCGGUGAAAUGCGUAGAUAUCGAGAGGAACACCUGCGGCGAAGGCGGGUAGCUGGGCCGACACUGACGCUGAGGCGCGAAAGCCAGGGGAGCGAACGGG